Molecule: ribosomal RNA, 2793 nt
Filed under: Escherichia coli
Lineage: Bacteria; Pseudomonadati; Pseudomonadota; Gammaproteobacteria; Enterobacterales; Enterobacteriaceae
Description: partial 23S ribosomal RNA
Rfam family: Bacterial large subunit ribosomal RNA
Source: RNAcentral
GGUUAAGCGACUAAGCGUACACGGUGGAUGCCCUGGCAGUCAGAGGCGAUGAAGGACGUGCUAAUCUGCGAUAAGCGUCGGUAAGGUGAUAUGAACCGUUAUAACCGGCGAUUUCCGAAUGGGGAAACCCAGUGUGUUUCGACACACUAUCAUUAACUGAAUCCAUAGGUUAAUGAGGCGAACCGGGGGAACUGAAACAUCUAAGUACCCCGAGGAAAAGAAAUCAACCGAGAUUCCCCCAGUAGCGGCGAGCGAACGGGGAGCAGCCCAGAGCCUGAAUCAGUAUGUGUGUUAGUGGAAGCGUCUGGAAAGGCGCGCGAUACAGGGUGACAGCCCCGUACACAAAAAUGCACAUAUUGUGAGCUCGAUGAGUAGGGCGGGACACGUGGUAUCCUGUCUGAAUAUGGGGGGACCAUCCUCCAAGGCUAAAUACUCCUGACUGACCGAUAGUGAACCAGUACCGUGAGGGAAAGGCGAAAAGAACCCCGGCGAGGGGAGUGAAAAAGAACCUGAAACCGUGUACGUACAAGCAGUGGGAGCACGCUUAGGCGUGUGACUGCGUACCUUUUGUAUAAUGGGUCAGCGACUUAUAUUCUGUAGCAAGGUUAACCGAAUAGGGGAGCCGAAGGGAAACCGAGUCUUAACUGGGCGUUAAGUUGCAGGGUAUAGACCCGAAACCCGGUGAUCUAGCCAUGGGCAGGUUGAAGGUUGGGUAACACUAACUGGAGGACCGAACCGACUAAUGUUGAAAAAUUAGCGGAUGACUUGUGGCUGGGGGUGAAAGGCCAAUCAAACCGGGAGAUAGCUGGUUCUCCCCGAAAGCUAUUUAGGUAGCGCCUCGUGAAUUCAUCUCCGGGGGUAGAGCACUGUUUCGGCAAGGGGGUCAUCCCGACUUACCAACCCGAUGCAAACUGCGAAUACCGGAGAAUGUUAUCACGGGAGACACACGGCGGGUGCUAACGUCCGUCGUGAAGAGGGAAACAACCCAGACCGCCAGCUAAGGUCCCAAAGUCAUGGUUAAGUGGGAAACGAUGUGGGAAGGCCCAGACAGCCAGGAUGUUGGCUUAGAAGCAGCCAUCAUUUAAAGAAAGCGUAAUAGCUCACUGGUCGAGUCGGCCUGCGCGGAAGAUGUAACGGGGCUAAACCAUGCACCGAAGCUGCGGCAGCGACGCUUAUGCGUUGUUGGGUAGGGGAGCGUUCUGUAAGCCUGUGAAGGUGUGCUGUGAGGCAUGCUGGAGGUAUCAGAAGUGCGAAUGCUGACAUAAGUAACGAUAAAGCGGGUGAAAAGCCCGCUCGCCGGAAGACCAAGGGUUCCUGUCCAACGUUAAUCGGGGCAGGGUGAGUCGACCCCUAAGGCGAGGCCGAAAGGCGUAGUCGAUGGGAAACAGGUUAAUAUUCCUGUACUUGGUGUUACUGCGAAGGGGGGACGGAGAAGGCUAUGUUGGCCGGGCGACGGUUGUCCCGGUUUAAGCGUGUAGGCUGGUUUUCCAGGCAAAUCCGGAAAAUCAAGGCUGAGGCGUGAUGACGAGGCACUACGGUGCUGAAGCAACAAAUGCCCUGCUUCCAGGAAAAGCCUCUAAGCAUCAGGUAACAUCAAAUCGUACCCCAAACCGACACAGGUGGUCAGGUAGAGAAUACCAAGGCGCUUGAGAGAACUCGGGUGAAGGAACUAGGCAAAAUGGUGCCGUAACUUCGGGAGAAGGCACGCUGAUAUGUAGGUGAAGUCCCUCGCGGAUGGAGCUGAAAUCAGUCGAAGAUACCAGCUGGCUGCAACUGUUUAUUAAAAACACAGCACUGUGCAAACACGAAAGUGGACGUAUACGGUGUGACGCCUGCCCGGUGCCGGAAGGUUAAUUGAUGGGGUUAGCGCAAGCGAAGCUCUUGAUCGAAGCCCCGGUAAACGGCGGCCGUAACUAUAACGGUCCUAAGGUAGCGAAAUUCCUUGUCGGGUAAGUUCCGACCUGCACGAAUGGCGUAAUGAUGGCCAGGCUGUCUCCACCCGAGACUCAGUGAAAUUGAACUCGCUGUGAAGAUGCAGUGUACCCGCGGCAAGACGGAAAGACCCCGUGAACCUUUACUAUAGCUUGACACUGAACAUUGAGCCUUGAUGUGUAGGAUAGGUGGGAGGCUUAGAAGUGUGGACGCCAGUCUGCAUGGAGCCGACCUUGAAAUACCACCCUUUAAUGUUUGAUGUUCUAACGUUGACCCGUAAUCCGGGUUGCGGACAGUGUCUGGUGGGUAGUUUGACUGGGGCGGUCUCCUCCUAAAGAGUAACGGAGGAGCACGAAGGUUGGCUAAUCCUGGUCGGACAUCAGGAGGUUAGUGCAAUGGCAUAAGCCAGCUUGACUGCGAGCGUGACGGCGCGAGCAGGUGCGAAAGCAGGUCAUAGUGAUCCGGUGGUUCUGAAUGGAAGGGCCAUCGCUCAACGGAUAAAAGGUACUCCGGGGAUAACAGGCUGAUACCGCCCAAGAGUUCAUAUCGACGGCGGUGUUUGGCACCUCGAUGUCGGCUCAUCACAUCCUGGGGCUGAAGUAGGUCCCAAGGGUAUGGCUGUUCGCCAUUUAAAGUGGUACGCGAGCUGGGUUUAGAACGUCGUGAGACAGUUCGGUCCCUAUCUGCCGUGGGCGCUGGAGAACUGAGGGGGGCUGCUCCUAGUACGAGAGGACCGGAGUGGACGCAUCACUGGUGUUCGGGUUGUCAUGCCAAUGGCACUGCCCGGUAGCUAAAUGCGGAAGAGAUAAGUGCUGAAAGCAUCUAAGCACGAAACUUGCCCCGAGAUGAGUUCUCCCUGAC